GACGAACGCUGGCGGCGUGCUUAACACAUGCAAGUCGAGCGGUAAGGCCCUUUCGGGGGUACGACGAGCGGCGAACGGGUGAGUAACACGUGGGUGACCUGCCCUCAGCUCUGGGAUAAGCCUGGGAAACCGGGUCUAAUACUGGAUAUGACUCCAUGACGCAUGUUGUGGGGUGGAAAGCCUUGUGCGGCUGAGGAUGGGCCCGCGGCCUAUCAGCUUGUUGGUGGGGGGAUGGCC
This 237-nucleotide ribosomal RNA is filed under the name uncultured bacterium. RNAcentral describes it as "partial 16S ribosomal RNA". It matches the Rfam family "Bacterial small subunit ribosomal RNA", at positions 28 to 265 of the family's 1533-position model. The record is from RNAcentral.